UUAGAGUUUGAUCCUGGCUCAGGACGAACGCUGGCGGCGUGCCUAAUGCAUGCAAGUCGAACGCAGCAGCUUCGGCUGGCUGCGUGGCGAACGGCUGAGGAACACGUGGGUAACCUGCCCCGGAGUGGGGGAUACCCCGUCGAAAGACGGGAUAAUCCCGCAUACGCUCUACGGAGGAAAGCUCAUUCGAGCGCUCCGGGAGGGGCCUGCGGCCCAUCAGGUAGUUGGUGUGGUAACGGCGCACCAAGCCACUGACGGGUACCCGGUCUGAGAGGACGACCGGGCAGACUGGGACUGCGACACGGCCCAGACUCCUACGGGAGGCAGCAGCAAGGAAUUUUCCCCAAUGGGCGCAAGCCUGAGGGAGCAACGCCGCGUGGAGGACGACGGCCUUCGGGUUGUAAACUCCUUUCGGGUGGGACGACUCCGACGGUACCACCAGAAGCAGCCCCGGCUAACUCUGUGCCAGCAGCCGCGGUAAGACAGAGGGGGCAAGCGUUGUCCGGAGUUACUGGGCGUAAAGGGCGCGGAGGCGGCCUGCGGCGUCGGCGCUGAAAGCGCCCCGCUUAACGGGGCGAGGCGUGCCGAUACGCGCAGGCUCGAGGCGAGCAGAGGGUGGUGGAAUUCCGGGUGGAGCGGUGAAAUGCGUAGAGAUCCGGAGGAACGCCAGUGGGGAAGCCGGGCACCUGGGCUCGGCCUGACGCUGCGGCGCGACAGCGUGGGGAGCAAACC
Molecule: ribosomal RNA, 732 nt
Filed under: uncultured Chloroflexus sp.
Lineage: Bacteria; Bacillati; Chloroflexota; Chloroflexia; Chloroflexales; Chloroflexaceae
Description: bacterial SSU rRNA
Rfam family: Bacterial small subunit ribosomal RNA
Source: RNAcentral